Molecule: transfer RNA, 71 nt
Filed under: Camelus bactrianus (Bactrian camel)
Lineage: Eukaryota; Metazoa; Chordata; Mammalia; Artiodactyla; Camelidae
Also listed under: 2 other names
Rfam family: tRNA
About the family: Transfer RNA (tRNA) molecules are approximately 80 nucleotides in length. Their secondary structure includes four short double-helical elements and three loops (D, anti-codon, and T loops). Further hydrogen bonds mediate the characteristic L-shaped molecular structure. tRNAs have two regions of fundamental functional importance: the anti-codon, which is responsible for specific mRNA codon recognition, and the 3' end, to which the tRNAs corresponding amino acid is attached (by aminoacyl-tRNA synthetases). tRNAs cope with the degeneracy of the genetic code in two manners: having more than one tRNA (with a specific anti-codon) for a particular amino acid; and 'wobble' base-pairing, i.e. permitting non-standard base-pairing at the 3rd anti-codon position.
Source: Rfam by way of RNAcentral
GAGGAUGUAGCUCAGUGGUAGAGUGUGUGCUUAGCAUGCACGAGGUCCUGGGUUCAGUCCCCAGUUCCUCC